UUGCGAAAUAAGACGAACAUUUAUAUUCAUUGUGUGCAACAUUAUUUAAUAGUAGAAUACAAUUUCUAACGUCUGCUGUAAUACCUAAAUUUUGCCUGGCCUUAGCCCAAAUAUUAAAACCCAAAUAAAUAAAUAAAUAAAACCAAAUUCAAAGUCUAUUUACAAAUAACAUCAGUCUAGAUAGUUAACCAAAACCCCUAGCCCAAACCUAACCUAAGCCUAAUUAGCCCAAUCUCCAAACCCGGUUACAAACCCAAAUACCCCUGCCCAAUUACAGCCCAAAACGGAAACAGAAACCCUAGGGUUUCUGACAGCUUACAGCGCCGCAGCCACCAAGGCCUUCGUCCCCAUGUGUCGAGCCUUUGCCCUCGCGUGCGCCUUCGCAUGUGCGCCACCGCUACGUGCCACGCCUCCAUGCGCUGCGUCGAGCCACGCAUGCCUCCGUACGGCCACCUCCGUACUUCCAGGCUGGCCGAGUACCUGUAAAAAAACACACACGGAAACAACAGCAAAUAGAAAAACAACAGCAUAGGGGUGAAUUUUUUAAUUAUUUUUUUCAUUUUAUUUUCUGUAAAUCGGGCUAUAAGAAAGCCAUUCGAACACUGUAAAAUAUUUACACAUUCAAUAUACAAAAUUGAAAAUACAAAAGAAUAAAAAACAAAAAGGUGAUUUUCUGCGUUUUUAUUCCUUUCUAUCUUGCUGGUUACUUAAUUCUUUUCUUUUUUUUUCUUUUUCUAGUUCGUACAUUCAUCAAUUGUUGUUUAAAAGAGAAAUAGGAAAGAGAAAGGGAGGGAAAACGUACCUGAAGGCCGGAUUUUUUCCCUCUCCGCAGCCAUCAGAGUUGAGGCGAAGAUUGGAGGUCUUCGGAGGCGAUGAAUCGUCAGAACGGCGCAGAGAACACUUGUUCUCUUUAGGUUUUUCUGAAAUGAAAAUGCUUAGGAUUUUAGUGUUUUAAACCCAGGACUAAAACGUCGCCGUUUGUUG
Molecule: long non-coding RNA, 984 nt
Filed under: Gossypium barbadense (sea-island cotton)
Lineage: Eukaryota; Viridiplantae; Streptophyta; Magnoliopsida; Malvales; Malvaceae
Description: long non-coding RNA (GBAR_LNC018738)
Source: RNAcentral